UACGGAGGGGGCCAGCGUUGUUCGGAAUUAUUGGGCGUAAAGGGCGCGUAGGCGGCUAGGCAAGUCGGACGUGAAAGCCCUCGGCUCAACCGAGGAAUUGCCUCCGAAACUGCCUGGCUUGAGUCCCGGAGAGGGUAGCGGAAUUCCCAGUGUAGCGGUGAAAUGCGUAGAUAUUGGGAGGAACACCUGUGGCGAAGGCGGCUAUCUGGACGGGUACUGACGCUGAGGCGCGAAAGCUAGGGGAGCAAACAGGAUUAGAUACCCCCGUA
This 269-nucleotide ribosomal RNA is filed under the name uncultured prokaryote. Its description in RNAcentral is "partial 16S ribosomal RNA". It matches the Rfam family "Bacterial small subunit ribosomal RNA", at positions 524 to 792 of the family's 1533-position model. The record is from RNAcentral.